CAAUAUGCAACAAGGAUAUGUCUUCCUUGUAUUUGAAGCUUGGAAGGAAAAUCUACUUCAUGGAUUAUUGAUGGUUUCUACCUACUAAUUACUCUUGGAGGACCCAUUAUAAUCAAUAUUUUGAUGAUAAGUUCGACCGACAUCCGCUACCUAAAGAAUUAAGUGAAGUGGAAGUUUUAGAAUAACUUGAAGCCAUUGAAAAUAUGAAAUUUAAAAAAAUAUCGAAUACUCGCAAACGGAAGCGUACUGAAGCUGAGCUGAAUUGGACCAAACAACACAUAUUUCUCGAACUGCC
RNAcentral lists this long non-coding RNA (295 nucleotides) under Elaeis guineensis (African oil palm). RNAcentral describes it as "long non-coding RNA (EGUI_LNC015067)". The record is from RNAcentral. Lineage: Eukaryota; Viridiplantae; Streptophyta; Magnoliopsida; Arecales; Arecaceae.